RNAcentral lists this long non-coding RNA (270 nucleotides) under Microcebus murinus (gray mouse lemur). Its description in RNAcentral is "lncRNA (ENSMICG00000048856.1)". Lineage: Eukaryota; Metazoa; Chordata; Mammalia; Primates; Cheirogaleidae. The record is from RNAcentral.
CAUUUAUACUGAAAGCUAAAUGUGCAAGAACUGCAAAAACAUUCUUCAAAAGAGUAUUGAUGAGGAAUAAUUUAUUCUAACAGCAGGUGGAUGUCUCAAGCCAACUCCAGGGGUUUUUGUACAACUUCCUCCAACAGUCCUCUCACUGUGAGGUCUUUCAGUGCACAGAAAUACAUCGCUGAGUCCUCCAGUUGUGAAGCUGAGAUGGUAAGAUCACAGAGGAAGCAUGUUCCCACUGGGCCAUCCCUACCUAGCCACAUUGAAGCUGUG